Molecule: ribosomal RNA, 416 nt
Filed under: uncultured microorganism
Description: bacterial SSU rRNA
Rfam family: Bacterial small subunit ribosomal RNA
Source: RNAcentral
GAGUUUGAUCGUGGCUCAGAUUGAACGCUGGCGGCAUGCCUUACACAUGCAAGUCGAACGGCAGCAUGAUCUAGCUUGCUAGAUUGAUGGCGUGUGGCGAACGGGUGAGUAAUACAUCGGAACGUGCCCUGUAGUGGGGGAUAACUAGUCGAAAGAUUAGCUAAUACCGCAUACGACCUGAGGGUGAAAGUGGGGGACCGCAAGGCCUCAUGCUAUAGGAGCGGCCGAUGUCUGAUUAGCUAGUUGGUGGGGUAAAGGGCCCACCAAGGCGACGAUCAGUAGCUGGUCUGAGAGGACGAUCAGCCACACUGGGACUGAGACACGGCCCAGACUCCUACGGGAGGCAGCAGUGGGGAAUUUUGGACAAUGGGCGAAAGCCUGAUCCAGCAAUGCCGCGUGUGUGAAGAGGGCCUCGG